GACGAACGCUGGCGGCGUGCUUAACACAUGCAAGUCGAACGGAAAGGCCCUGCUUUUGUGGGGUGCUCGAGUGGCGAACGGGUGAGUAACACGUGAGUAACCUGCCCUUGACUUUGGGAUAACUUCAGGAAACUGGGGCUAAUACCGGAUAGGAGCUCCUGCUGCAUGGUGGGGGUUGGAAAGUUUCGGCGGUUGGGGAUGGACUCGCGGCUUAUCAGCUUGUUGGUGGGGUAGUGGCUUACCAAGGCUUUGACGGGUAGCCGGCCUGAGAGGGUGACCGGGCACCAUGGGAAUGAGAUACGGGCCAGGACCCUAAGGGAGGCAGCAGUGGGGAAUAUUGCACAAUGGGCGGAAGCCUGAUGCAGCAACGCCGCGUGCGGGAUGACGGCCUUCGGGUUGUAAACCGCUUUCGCCUGUGACGAAGCGUGAGUGACGGUAAUGGGUAAAGAAGCACCGGCUAACUACGUG
RNAcentral lists this ribosomal RNA (468 nucleotides) under uncultured bacterium. RNAcentral describes it as "partial 16S ribosomal RNA". It matches the Rfam family "Bacterial small subunit ribosomal RNA", at positions 28 to 507 of the family's 1533-position model. The record is from RNAcentral.